RNAcentral lists this ribosomal RNA (400 nucleotides) under uncultured bacterium. RNAcentral describes it as "bacterial SSU rRNA". It matches the Rfam family "Bacterial small subunit ribosomal RNA", at positions 355 to 747 of the family's 1533-position model. The record is from RNAcentral.
UGGGGAAUAUUGGACAAUGGGCGCAAGCCUGAUCCAGCCAUACCGCGUGGGUGAAGAAGGCCUUCGGGUUGUAAAGCCCUUUUGUUGGGAAAGAAAUCCAGCUGGCUAAUACCCGGUUGGGAUGACGGUACCCAAAGAAUAAGCACCGGCUAACUUCGUGCCAGCAGCCGCGGUAAUACGAAGGGUGCAAGCGUUACUCGGAAUUACUGGGCGUAAAGCGUGCGUAGGUGGUCGUUUAAGUCCGUUGUGAAAGCCCUGGGCUCAACCUGGGAACUGCAGUGGAUACUGGACGACUAGAGUGUGGUAGAGGGUAGCGGAAUUCCUGGUGUAGCAGUGAAAUGCGUAGAGAUCAGGAGGAACAUCCAUGGCGAAGGCAGCUACCUGGACCAACACUGACACU